This 253-nucleotide ribosomal RNA is filed under the name uncultured bacterium. RNAcentral's name for it is "partial 16S ribosomal RNA". It matches the Rfam family "Bacterial small subunit ribosomal RNA", at positions 524 to 776 of the family's 1533-position model. The record is from RNAcentral.
UACAGAGGUCUCAAGCGUUGUUCGGAUUCAUUGGGCGUAAAGGGUGCGCAGGUGGCGAGGCAAGUCGGAUGUGAAAUCCCGGGGCUCAACCCCGGAACUGCAUUCGAUACGGGCAGACUAGAGUAUGGCAGGGGAGACUGGAAUUCCUGGUGUAGCGGUGAAAUGCGCAGAUAUCAGGAGGAACACCGGUGGCGAAGGCGGGUCUCUGGGCCAAAACUGACGCUGAGGAGCGAAAGCGUGGGGAGCGAACAGG